GCCCCCCUGGCCCAAUGGCUAGGGCAUCAGACUUCUAACUCAAUCAGAGUAGGUAUCUGGGGAUUGCGGGUUCGAGUCCCGCGGGGGGUU
This is a non-coding RNA of Tulasnella sp. JGI-2019a, 90 nucleotides long. Lineage: Eukaryota; Fungi; Basidiomycota; Agaricomycetes; Cantharellales; Tulasnellaceae. The record is from the annotation of a GenBank genome assembly.